AUUGAACGCUGGCGGCAGGCCUAACACAUGCAAGUCGAGCGGAUGAAGGGAGCUUGCUCCUGGAUUCAGCGGCGGACGGGUGAGUAAUGCCUAGGAAUCUGCCUGGUAGUGGGGGAUAACGUCCGGAAACGGGCGCUAAUACCGCAUACGUCCUGAGGGAGAAAGUGGGGGAUCUUCGGACCUCACGCUAUCAGAUGAGCCUAGGUCGGAUUAGCUAGUUGGUGGGGUAAAGGCCUACCAAGGCGACGAUCCGUAACUGGUCUGAGAGGAUGAUCAGUCACACUGGAACUGAGACACGGUCCAGACUCCUACGGGAGGCAGCAGUGGGGAAUAUUGGACAAUAGGCGAAAGCCUGAUCCAGCCAUGCCGCGUGUGUGAAGAAGGUCUUCGGAUUGUAAAGCACUUUAAGUUGGGAGGAAGGGCAGUAAGUUAAUACCUUGCUGCUUUGACGUUACCAACAGAAUAAGCACCGGCUAACUUCGUG
This 484-nucleotide ribosomal RNA is filed under the name uncultured bacterium. RNAcentral describes it as "partial 16S ribosomal RNA". It matches the Rfam family "Bacterial small subunit ribosomal RNA", at positions 30 to 507 of the family's 1533-position model. The record is from RNAcentral.